This 437-nucleotide long non-coding RNA is filed under the name Oryctolagus cuniculus (rabbit). Its description in RNAcentral is "lncRNA (ENSOCUG00000034797.1)". Lineage: Eukaryota; Metazoa; Chordata; Mammalia; Lagomorpha; Leporidae. The record is from RNAcentral.
AUAUACUUUAAAGAUACAAAAAAGUUGUUAUUCAAAUAAUUCUCUUUGAUUCUCUUUGUAGGAAGACAAUGGCAAUGUGAAAACAACAUAGUAGAAAGGGUUUGCCACUGUGGAAGAGGCAAAUCACAUUUAUGAUUUGCCCUUGGGUGCCUUCUAUUCUUUUAGUGCCACCAUUAUCAGCCCAAGGAUUCAAGGCAGGAGAAAAUACCCUCCAGGAACAUUCUAUCUGAUGGCUCAUCACUUCUGAAAGAAACAGGAAUAAAAGUAUAUUCACAAAGGCACAAAAAAAGCUAUAUUGCAUGCAAAUUUCCAUUCAUGCUAAUAGGAGCUGUUAUAGGUGAUUCAUACUUUAAAGACAUAUACUAAAAAUUAUUUUUAUCCACUCUUAAUGUCUCCUUUUAAAAAUAAAACUCAUAGUAAAACGUGAAGAAUAAUCA